RNAcentral lists this ribosomal RNA (407 nucleotides) under uncultured bacterium. Its description in RNAcentral is "partial 16S ribosomal RNA". It matches the Rfam family "Bacterial small subunit ribosomal RNA", at positions 30 to 526 of the family's 1533-position model. The record is from RNAcentral.
AUUGAACGCUGGCGGCAGGCCUAACACAUGCAAGUAGAGCGGAGCGACUGACGGGUGAGUAAGUCCUAGGCAUCUGCCUUGUAUCGUGGGAUAAAGUCCGGAAACGGGCGCUAAUACCGCAUACUAUUAGAUUCGCCUAGGUCGUAUUAGCUAGUUGGUGGGGUAAAGGCCUACCAAGGCGACGAUCCGUAACUGGUCUGAGAGGAUGAUCAGUCACACUGGGACUGAGACACGGUCCAGACUCCUACGGGAGGCAGCAGUGGGUAAUUGUGGACAAUGGGCGAAAGCCUGAUCCAGCAAUGCCGCGUGAGUGAAGAAGGUCUUCGGAUUGUAAAGCUCUUUAAGUAGGGAGGCGUUACCAACAGAAUAAGCACCGGCUAACUUCGUGCCAGCAGCCGCGGUAAUUC